GACUAACGCUGUCCCGCCUGCUUAGGCUGGCUCCUCUAACGGUGAUGGACAGCUUGCUCUCCGGAUCAGUGGCGAACGGUGUGAGUAACAGGUGAGUAACCUGCCCCUGACUCUGGGAUAAGCGUUGUGAAACAACGUCUAAUACCGGAUAUGACUUAUUGACGCAUGUUCUGUGGGUGGAAAGAUUUCACGGUUGGGGAUGGACUCGCGGCCUAUCAGCUUGUUGGUGAGGUAAUGGCUCACCAAGGCGACGACGGGUAGCCGGCCUGACAGGGUGACCGGCCACACUGGAACUGACACAAUCCCCACAUUCCUACGGGAGGCAGCCGUGGGGAAUAUUGCACAAUGGGCGCGAGCGUGAUGCACCAACGCCGCGGGAUGGACGACGGCCUUCGGGUUGUAAACCUCUUUUGGAAGGGAAGAGACGAAAGUGACGGUACCUGCUGAAAAAGCUGCGGCUAACUACAUGUCAUGUCCGCGGUAAUACCUACGGUGCGAGCGUUGUCCGGAAUUAUUGUCCGUAUGCAUCCCGUAAGCGGUUUGUCUCGUCUGCUUGUGAAAACUCGAGGCUCAUUCUCUUGACUGCAGUGGGUACGGGCAGACUAGAGUGCGGUAGGGGGAGAUUGGAAUUCCUGGUGUAGCGGUGGAAUGAGCAGAUCUCAGGAGGAACACCGAUGGUCGAAGGCAGAUCUCUGGGCCGUUACUGUCAGUGAGGAGCGAAAGCGUGGGGAGCGAACAGGAUUAGAUACUUUCUUAGUCACACGCAGUAAACGUUGGGAACUAGAUGUAGGGUCCAUUCCAUGGUUUGUGUGUAGCAGCUACAGCAUUCAGUUACCCGCCUGGGGAGUACGGCCGCAAGGCUCAUCCUCAAAGGAAUUGACGGGGGGCCGCACAAGCGGCCGAGCAUUCCGGAUUAAUUCGAUGCAACGCGAAGAACCUUACCAAGGCUUGACAUGCACCUGAAAAGGCUGGAAACAGUCUCCUCGCAAGACAGGUGCACAGGUGGUGCAUGGUUGUCGUCAUCUCAACAGAUGAGAUGGAUCCGAAAACCUUGCAACGACCGCAACCGUUGUUCCAUCUGACCAUCGUGCUAUGGCGAGGAUUCCUUGGAGACUCCCGGGGUCAGAUUGGAGGAAGGGGGUCAGGACCUCAAAUCCUCAUCCCCCUCUCAUGUUGGGUUUCCAUCGUGGCCCAAUUAGCGCUUCAAAGCGCCACGUUGCUAUAAGGCGGAGGGAAUCUCAAACAGCCGCUGUCGAUUCGGUUUGUCGUAGGUAACUCGUCCUCAAGAAGUGGGAGUUGGUAGUAAUCGCAGAUCAGCAGCGGUGCGGUGCAUACGCUGCCCGGCCUUGUCCACUCCGCCCGUCAAGUCAUGAAAGUACAUCACACCGCAAGCCGGUGGCCCAACCUCGUGGAGGGAGCCGUCGAAGGUGGGAUCGGUAAUUACGUGU
RNAcentral lists this ribosomal RNA (1448 nucleotides) under uncultured bacterium. RNAcentral describes it as "partial 16S rRNA". It matches the Rfam family "Bacterial small subunit ribosomal RNA". The record is from RNAcentral.